UGAGGAUUCUGUAGCCUGUGGCUCCCAAG
This 29-nucleotide non-coding RNA is filed under the name Mus musculus (house mouse). Lineage: Eukaryota; Metazoa; Chordata; Mammalia; Rodentia; Muridae. The record is from RNAcentral.